This 447-nucleotide ribosomal RNA is filed under the name uncultured bacterium. RNAcentral's name for it is "partial 16S ribosomal RNA". It matches the Rfam family "Bacterial small subunit ribosomal RNA", at positions 330 to 793 of the family's 1533-position model. The record is from RNAcentral.
GCCAGACUCCUACGGGAGGCAGCAGUGGGGGAUAUUGCACAAUGGGGGGAACCCUGAUGCAGCGACGCCGCGUGGGUGAAGGAGCGUUUCGGCGCGUAAAGCCCUAUCGGCAGGGAAGAAGGAGGACGGUACCUGACUAAGAAGCCCCGGCUAACUACGUGCCAGCAGCCGCGGUAAUACGUAGGGGGCAAGCGUUAUCCGGGUUUACUGGGUGUAAAGGGGGCGCAGACGGCAGCGCAAGCCAGGAGUGAAAGCCCGGGGCGCAACCCCGGGACUGCUCUUGGAACUGCGCGGCUGGAGUGCAGGAGGGGCAGGCGGAAUUCCUGGUGUAGCGGUGAAAUGCGUAGAUAUCAGGAGGAACACCGGUGGCGAAGGCGGCCUGCUGGACUGCGACUGACGUUGAGGCCCGAAAGCGUGGGGAGCAAACAGGAUUAGAUACCCCCGUAC